Long non-coding RNA from Athene cunicularia (burrowing owl), 2057 nucleotides. RefSeq lists it as uncharacterized. Lineage: Eukaryota; Metazoa; Chordata; Aves; Strigiformes; Strigidae. The record is from RefSeq and is a predicted model, not a curated record. The transcript is spliced from 6 exons.
GGAGUUCAAGGGCCCUGCAGAUCCUUCACAUCAAACCCACAGAAGAGGCAAAUUUGCUGCCAGUACAGAUAAUCUGAUGGAAAAUUGCAGUUAAUGGCACAUGCCCUGUUCCUGAAUUGGUCCUUUGAUCGUUAGAAGUGUUUUCCUUUCAAGUGUGAGAACAGACUCUCAUCUGUAAUCAUAACACAUAGUAUCAUUAUAGUUAGCUUAUGAGCAUCAAGGUGCCAGUUGAAAUGUAAUGAAUGAAAUGUGAUGGAAACUGAGGGGGGUUUUUUUUGAGUGGUUGAUGGCAUGUUGCCCUGUGGCUCAAUCCCCAUUCUGUUCAGUGGAGUCUUCAGUCUAGGACUUUAUGUAAAAAAGUUUCUCCUUCCAAUAAAGAACUAGUCAUUCAUAAGAUAGAGGUAUAGCCUUGGAAAGUCGCUUAGGUACAUGAUCAGAAUUAAAGCCAAAUUUCACUUAAUGUUGCUGCUGUUGGUCUUCACUUUCAUUAAUUUCCCCACCGCUCCUCACAAAUCAUACUUUUUUACAGUCUCUAACACAAUUUUAUUUUUUUCCCCCCUGCAAAAGACUGUCUGCUGUCUUCCUGUGAGUGAAAUGAAGCUGUUUUGUUUUCUCCCUUGUUUCUGGUCCAAAUAUUUCUGAAGCUGCUGUUGUGGGUUUGCAUUUUCAUAGAGUUCUAGUUAGAGAUUACUUCUACUGUGGCAAAGUGUCAAGCUGGAUGUCAUCUGCCCCCAUUUCACCAUGGUCGCCCUUUCUUGUGCCAUGAAAGUAUAAGAGGGAUGGAAGGAAUCCAGAACGGUCUACAAGUACAAGUAGCACUUGAAAACCUCACUGAGACCCUAGCAUCUGUACUAAAGCAGUCAAGGUCAAAGAGGAGACAUGGACAGAAUAGGACAAAUCAGCAUCGCUUCCACGUGUUUUUCAGGCUUUCCCAAGAAGCGUUAGCAGCCUUGUAACUAGGGACAGUGAGUCCGGAUGUGUUCUCGUUUUUACAGUUUUACACUCCUGAUGUCACUGACCCAUGCAGCAGCAGCAGCGCAAGGGCCGUGGCUGUCGCGGCGCGUCCGUCAGCCGUAGCUUCUGGUGGCGGUGCAGCCUCGUCCUGCACCUCGCAGGGCUCCCUCCCUGCAGCCCUGCUGUAAGGACGGGACGAGAUGUUGCGACAGCAGCAAGAGCGUUUGCUUUUAUGGGCAGGAUGUGCUCAGGGUCGUAUGGCCUGGGCUUGUGGGUGAUUUUGAGGGGUUGAAAUCGCUCCGGCCUUGCCAGGGUGUGUUGUCUGUGGAGCUGGCCUGUUCACACAGAGUCCUCCCCGAGCUCCACUGCCAUUCUGACCCUUAUUCUGACAGAAAUUCUUCUGUUGUAUGUUUUCAAGAUGGAAUAGGAUUUGGGGCUUUUGUUUUUCAGAUGUGUUGCUGUAUCUUGUGAUGUCCCCCUGGGCCAGGUUUGCCUGCUGGCUGUUAACGCCGUGACAGCAGGGCCCGCCCUUGUGUUGCUGCCACAGCACAAAAAUACCCCCAAAUCCCUGAUUCUGGGUCUGCUGUAAAAGGAAUAAGCUUUAGAAAACACUUUUCUCUUAGGAUAUUGUUAAUAGAAGGAAUAAUUAAUAAAUAUUGUUUUAUAGGCUUAAUUAAUAGAGCACAGGUGCUCUAGGAACAAUACUGACAAUACUUAGAAAGGCUAGGUAAUGAAAAGCUAGACAUAGAUUAAGUGUAUGUUAAAUAGAACGUUUUAAGUCUUUUCUCAAAGGCUAAAAGUGAAUUAUGAUGAAGAUUAUUCAGAAGAUACUGAGACAGGGACCAUGAUGACCAAAGACUGCAUCAGUGAGCAGUGGUGUCUGAAGAGGCAUUGGAACGGAACGAUAAGAACUAGUUGAAACUGUGGAAUACGGUGGACUUUUGACAUUGAUGAUGAAUUGAGAGCUGAAAGUUCCUGGAAAAUCACCAAAGGCUCUUUGUAUUGUAUGUUAUAUCAUUUAUAGAGAGGUUGCUUUUUGUUAGCUGUGGCCACUCCCUGAGGAGAUGGCCCAACUCCGAAUUGUUAAUAAAGCCAGCCUAGAG